GACGAACGCUGGCGGCGUGCUUAACACAUGCAAGUCGAACGGAAAGGCCCGGCUUUUGUUGGUUUCUCGAGUGGCGAACGGGUGAGUAACACGUGAGUAACCUGCCCCUGACUUUGGGAGAACUCCAGGAAACUGGGGCGAAUACCGGAUAUGAUCUCCUGCUGCAUGGUGGUGGUUGGAAAGAUUCGGCUGUUGGGGAUGGACUCGCGGCUUAUCAGCUUGUUGGUGGGGUAGGGGCUUACCAAGGCUUCGACGGGUAGCCUGCCUGGGAGGGUGACCGGGCACAUGGGGACUGAGAUACGGCCCAGACUCCUACGGGAGGCAGCAGUGGGGAAUCUUGCACAGUGGGCGGAAGCCUGAUGCAGCAACGCCGCGUGCGGGAUGACGGCCUUCGGGUUGUAAACCGCUUUCGCCUGUGACGAAGCGUGAGUGACGGUACUGGGUAAAGAAGCCCCGGCUAACUACGUG
Molecule: ribosomal RNA, 468 nt
Filed under: uncultured bacterium
Lineage: Bacteria
Description: partial 16S ribosomal RNA
Rfam family: Bacterial small subunit ribosomal RNA
Source: RNAcentral